UCCCCGUUAUCCGAGGCAGUCUGCUGUGAAAAAACAACACAGCAUAGGGGUUGCGCUCGUUACCCCACUUAAGGGUACACCUCACGGCACGAGCUGACGACAACCAUGCAGCACCUGUGAUACACCCUCGAAGGAGGCCAACUUUCAUCGGCUUUGCAGUAUCAUGUCAAGCCCUGGUGAGGUUUCUCGCUUACCGUCGAAUUAAACCACAUGCUCCACCGCUUGUGCGGGUCCCCGUCUAUUCCUUUGAGUUUUAGCCUUGCGGCCGUACUCCCCAGGCGGAAUGCUUGACGCGUUAGCUUAUUUGAACGACUCCGGGAGGGUCGAUACUCCCGAAAUCCAGCAUUCAUCGUUUAGGGCACGGACUA
This 368-nucleotide unclassified non-coding RNA is filed under the name uncultured bacterium. RNAcentral describes it as "contains 16S-23S intergenic spacer region". The record is from RNAcentral.